GCCCGGGGCGCGGCCGUGGCGGGCUCCCCGGGGCGGCAGCUCUAGGCGCGGGCGCGCAGCAGCCCCCGAGGCGCCGCCUGGCCCAGCUGCCCGGCUCCCGAGCGCCGCUGCGAGUGGGGGGCGCCCCGCGGCGCCGCGCACAUCUUACUGGGGGGCCGCCCCGCCGGCGCCCGCCCCGCCCGGCUGCCGCCCACGGGCCGCCCGCGAGCGCGCGAGGCUCCCGGGCUCCGCUCGGACUGCGCUCGGGCUCGGCUCCCGCGCGGGCUGCCACCUGCCCCGGCUGCCGGGCGCUGGCGGGCGGGCUGCACGCGUCUCUCCGGCCGCUCCUCCUCCAGCCGCCGCCAAGGCUACCGCCCGGGCUCGCACAAAGCCCCGGAGUGGAGUUGCACGCGCGCACACACUCCCUCCCAGCCCCCUCCCCGCGCCCUGCCUCCCGCCGCCCGCGCUCCCUCCGCGCACUCCCCCGCGCACACACGCACUUCACACUCACGCCCCGAGGCGCACACUCGCGCGCUCACACCUGCGCAGGGGGCGGGGGGUGGCGGGGACGGGGACCCCGGGCCCGGCUCUCAGGGGGACGCCCGGAGAGCGAGGACGCCCCCCUGCUUCCCAGCUGUCCCCAUCCGCCCCGCCGCCCCCCAGCCAGUCCCUACAACUGCGAGGGCACGGAGCCGCGGAGCCGGGCGUGCAGCGACAGAGCUGGCACCGCGAGCGGGCGACGGCGGCAGCCUGGCGGCCCGACCAGCUGGAGGAGACGCGCCCGCCGAGCGGAGGGACGCGCAGCCCGCCGUCUGCGGAGCCUCGCCUUCCCGCUCCCACGCAGCGGGCGCAGGCUGGACGGCGGCGGGAGCGCACCCGGGGGCCGCGGCCGCACCGAACCCGCCCUCCGAGCUGGGGCUGGGCUCCGGGGAGACCGAAUUCAAACAGAAGUGUCCGCCGCGCUGGGCUGGGGAUGCUGCAGGGUCUGCUAGGGGCGGGCCUGGCCCGCGGACCCUCUGCGGUGGAAGGUGGCACUUGCCAGCGCCCUGCAGCCCCCGCGGUUUCCGAGGCCAAAUCCUGAAGUCCGGAGGGCAUCUGAGAUGCACCUGGUACUUCCCAUCCUCGUGUUCCCCAACCGUGCAGGAGGCGCUAGCCCCCUUCCCCUUGCCUCCUGAGAAGGAUGCAGAGACACCCGGCAAUGGUCAUGUCAUUGCCGUGGGAGGCAGCAAGACCCACGGGGUGGGGGGGGGGGGAGAGGAGGGGAGCAAGCUAGAAAGGGUUAAAAAAUGGGGGGAAAAACCUUGUUUAUUAGCAAUAAUAAAUUUUUUUUUUCAAGUGGCGCUGGGUGUCGAGGGAAAGAAAGGGCUGUGGAGCGAGUCUGGAGCAGGAGGCUGGGAAUUACGCAGUUAGGCGAGUUUAAUGACCUUUUUGACAGAGACAAAGUGCCCGCCCGAUACAGUAGAUAAAUAAACGGAUCUGUCACCGGGCAGCGGCUAGGCUGUGUGUGGAUUUAUUUUUCUCAUUUAAAUAAUUUGAUCUAUUCCAUCAUUCCCAAUCUCUCCCAUUUGCCAGCUGUCUGGUAAGAGCAUGGCCCCCAACAUCUGAAAAGCAAAUCUUUAAUUUUCUUACAAAUAGACUAUCAGUCCAGCCCUACCCCGGCUGUUAAUUUGCCCCGUCUUUUCUUUCCCUUCCCUUCUGUUCUGGAACUAGGGGACGUGGGCAUUGUGUGGAGAUGUGAAUAUUGCAGCGUGGCCAAUCCUGCCAAUUGGAAGGGGACUCCCUCCCACCUUGCGGGGGAGGCAGCUGUGGCGGUGGGAGGAGGAUUUCCCCGGCUCUUCUGAGAAAGGGAAGAGGUGUGCAGUCUUGAGGCCGUCCUCCAGCACUGGACAGCCAAGAGAGGCUACUGGGCACCGUCUUUGCCAGACUUGGGCCUUCCUCACCCCGGAGCAGGAGCGGCUGGUUUCCCAAGCAGCCACUGGAAAAUGUUGCCCAAGAGACCAGGGGGAAGGACAUGCAGACCAGAGCCAGAGAGGCAGCAGCUGCCA
RNAcentral lists this long non-coding RNA (2024 nucleotides) under Canis lupus familiaris (dog). Its description in RNAcentral is "lncRNA (ENSCAFG00040005906.1)". Lineage: Eukaryota; Metazoa; Chordata; Mammalia; Carnivora; Canidae. The record is from RNAcentral.